Molecule: transfer RNA, 77 nt
Filed under: Clostridia bacterium
Lineage: Bacteria; Bacillati; Bacillota; Clostridia
Also listed under: 1 other name
Description: tRNA-Ile
Rfam family: tRNA
About the family: Transfer RNA (tRNA) molecules are approximately 80 nucleotides in length. Their secondary structure includes four short double-helical elements and three loops (D, anti-codon, and T loops). Further hydrogen bonds mediate the characteristic L-shaped molecular structure. tRNAs have two regions of fundamental functional importance: the anti-codon, which is responsible for specific mRNA codon recognition, and the 3' end, to which the tRNAs corresponding amino acid is attached (by aminoacyl-tRNA synthetases). tRNAs cope with the degeneracy of the genetic code in two manners: having more than one tRNA (with a specific anti-codon) for a particular amino acid; and 'wobble' base-pairing, i.e. permitting non-standard base-pairing at the 3rd anti-codon position.
Source: RNAcentral
GGGCAAUUAGCUCAGUUGGUUAGAGCUACCGGCUCAUAACCGGUUGGUCCUGGGUUCGAGUCCCCGAUUGCCCACCA